This 1071-nucleotide long non-coding RNA is filed under the name Jatropha curcas. RNAcentral's name for it is "long non-coding RNA (JCUR_LNC001309)". The record is from RNAcentral. Lineage: Eukaryota; Viridiplantae; Streptophyta; Magnoliopsida; Malpighiales; Euphorbiaceae.
UGCCUAGUAGUGGUGUAUGAAUUGAGGCAUCUUAUGGUUUAAUAUGGUAUAAAUAUGAAUUAAAUUCAAUGAGAUUUAGUCUUUUGAUGUUUAUUCUAAAGGUUAUGUAAGUUAUAAAUAAGGAUUUUUGUUUAAUGGAGAGUUUACGAUCCAAGAAAAAGUAAACGACUCCUAUAAAGAAAUUAAGAUAAUUAUAUAAUCUUUAACAAAUUAGGAAUCAUUGAUUAUUCAGAUUUGAUGGACAUAAAAGUAUACAAGAUAAGAAGUUCUAUAUUUGGGAUUUCAUGAUUAUGUUAAAAAAAAAAAAAAAAAUUGUGAUUCGUAUUGAUCUCACUACGCAUUUAUGCGAAUAAAUUCUAAGCCAAAAUGAUUAAGAGUUUAUAAAGAUAGAAAAGAUUGGUUAAUAGUUAAUAGGAGUAUUUACAAGUCAUGGAAGAUUUAUGGAUUUAUGUGAGAUAUCUAUGAUUAAAAAAAAAAGUGCGAAUUGCUAUGAGUUAGUAAAUUCUAUUUGGAUCGUUAUGGAUAAAUGGUUAAGUUGGAAUAGUCCAUAUGGCACAUUGCAUGAGUUGCAUAACCUUAUGAUUGUGUAUAAAUACUUUUACGUAUUGAGAUUUGGAACUUUGGUAUUAUUUUUCUCUUGAGUGGACCUUGCAAGUAUGCAUGUAUGACUCUAUGUAUGUAUGCAUGACAGUGUUUGAGAUUAAGUAUCACGAUGGAAUUAAGUUAUUAACACUGUUAUAAGAAUAAGAUAUAUGAUCUCAGGAGAAUACUGUUAUGAGAAUAAGCUAUAUGAUCUUUAUGUUAAGGAUCUAAUCGGUGUUAUGCAAAAUAAGUUUAUGUAUUUUAAAUAUGGAAUGGUUAAAUUUGCUAUUAUGGAUGUUCAGUUGGAAGAAUCAUGUAUAGAAUAUACGGAUAGUAAGCACUAGUUGAUUAAGGAAGAAUAAACUAAAUCGGAAAAAUAUUAUGAGAUUCGUAAUUGCUAAAUUCAAGUGAAUUUCGAGGACGAAAUUCUUUAAGGGGGGUAGAAAUGUAACGCCCCAUUUUUUCUGUGUCUGAAAUAGUAAGUUACCG